Molecule: unclassified non-coding RNA, 212 nt
Filed under: Hevea brasiliensis (rubber tree)
Lineage: Eukaryota; Viridiplantae; Streptophyta; Magnoliopsida; Malpighiales; Euphorbiaceae
Source: RNAcentral
UGAUGGCCUCCAAGAGGAGCUAGCAAAGUCUCUGAAUGAACUCUCUGGACUGUCCAAGCAAAAAGAAUCUGCUGAAGUUGCUAAACAUGAAGCUCUUGAGCGUUUAGAAAAGUUAUCUUCCAUUCACUCUGAAGAAAGAAAGAACCAAUUAGCUGAAAUUACAAUGCUAAAAUCUGGUGUGGAUCAGCUUGGGAAGGAUCUCUAUGUUGUUG